UGGUUCUGGCAUCGAUGAAGAACGCAGCGAAAUGCGAUAAGUAAUGUGAAUUGCAGAAUUCAGUGAAUCAUCGAAUCUUUGAACGCACAUUGCACCCUUUGGUAUUCCGAAGGGUACACCUGUUCGAGCGUCAUUAAAUUCUUCAAGCUUAUGCUUGGUAUUGGUUAAGGUCUCUUUUGGACCUUCCCAUAACUUAUUAGACAAAACUUUUUUAACUUUAAACGUAACAAGAAAACUUCAUCGUUUGUUGUUAAAAAAGUUUCUUGUCUGUUAAUUUGACUCUUUCAAUCUUGACCUCGGAUCAGGUGAGGAUACCCGCUGA
Molecule: unclassified non-coding RNA, 322 nt
Filed under: uncultured fungus
Lineage: Eukaryota; Fungi
Description: partial contains 5.8S ribosomal RNA and internal transcribed spacer 2
Rfam family: 5.8S ribosomal RNA (bases 1-133)
Source: RNAcentral